RNAcentral lists this ribosomal RNA (2232 nucleotides) under Hippodamia convergens (convergent lady beetle). RNAcentral's name for it is "eukaryotic LSU rRNA". It matches the Rfam family "Eukaryotic large subunit ribosomal RNA", at positions 44 to 1897 of the family's 3401-position model. The record is from RNAcentral. Lineage: Eukaryota; Metazoa; Arthropoda; Insecta; Coleoptera; Coccinellidae.
UUUUAGGCGGAGGGAAAGGAACUAACUAGGAUUCCCUUAGUAGCGGCGAGCGAACAGGGAUUAGCCCAGCACUGAAUCCCGCGAUCUUAACGGGUCGCCGGGAGAUGUGGUGUUUAGAAGGAUCCAUUAUCUGGCGAGUUCGCGGCGCGUUCAAGUCCAUCUUGAAUGGGGCCAUCGCCCAUAGAGGGUGCCAGGCCCGUAGCGACCGCUGCGUCUUGCUAGAGGAUCUCUUCUUAGAGUCGGGUUGCUUGAGAGUGCAGCCCUAAGUGGGUGGUAAACUCCAUCUAAGGCUAAAUAUAACCACGAGACCGAUAGCGAACAAGUACCGUGAGGGAAAGUUGAAAAGAACUUUGAAGAGAGAGUUCAAGAGUACGUGAAACCGUUCAGGGGUAAACCUGAGAAACCCGAAAGGUCGAAUGGGGAGAUUCAUUCGCGCCCGUUGUUGGGAUGUACCGUCUGCGGAAGCGGCGACGUUCGCGUCGGCUUGCUCUCUACGGUGCAUCUAUCGGCUUCGGACGCGUGCACUUCUCCCCUAGUAGGUCGUCGCGAUCCGUUGGGCGCUGUUCUACGGUCCGGACUGUGAAGACCGCGAGCUCGGAUUUUCCGAUGCUUGCUGGACACGCCGGUUACCGAACAGCUCGCUCGACGGUUUACUGAUGGCGGGAGGCCGCGAUUUAGUUCGCGUCCGACCCGUGGCAAGUACGUGUAUCGCGAUGGCUAUCGGACCCAGUGCCGAUUCCGUCCGUUCGCGACUGUUCGCCACGGUGUUCUCGGACAGACCUCUUGAAACGCCGAUCAGCGACGCUAUUGCUUUGGGUACUUUCAGGACCCGUCUUGAAACACGGACCAAGGAGUCUAGCGUGUGCGCGAGUCAUUGGGAUAAUACUAAACCUAAAGGCGAAAUGAAAGUAAACGUCCGCAUCUAGUGGACAGAGGGAAGAUGGUUGGUCUCCACGACCGACCCGCAUUCCCGGGGCGUCUCAUUCUCAUUGCGAGAGGAGGCGCACCAAGAGCGUACACGCUGGGACCCGAAAGAUGGUGAACUAUGCCUGGUCAGGACGAAGUCAGGGGAAACCCUGAUGGAGGUCCGUAGCGAUUCUGACGUGCAAAUCGAUCGUCUGAACUGGGUAUAGGGGCGAAAGACUAAUCGAACCAUCUAGUAGCUGGUUCCCUCCGAAGUUUCCCUCAGGAUAGCUGGCGCUCGUAGCAUACGAGUCUCAUCCGGUAAAGCGAAUGAUUAGAGGCAUUGGGGUCGAAACGACCUCAACCUAUUCUCAAACUUUAAAUGGGUGAGAUCUCCGGCUUGCUUGAAUGUGAAGCCGCGAGAUUUCGGAUCAGAGUGCCAAGUGGGCCAUUUUUGGUAAGCAGAACUGGCGCUGUGGGAUGAACCAAACGCCGAGUUAAAGCGCCUAAAUCGACGCUUAUGGGAUACCAUGAAAGGCGUUGGUAACUUAAGACAGCAGGACGGUGGCCAUGGAAGUCGGAAUCCGCCAAGGAGUGUGUAACAACUCACCUGCCGAAGUUACUAGCCCUGAAAAUGGAUGGCGCUGAAGCGUCGUGCUUAUACUCGGCCGUCAGCGGCAUGUGCGGUCGCCCUUCGGGGCGGUCAUGAAGCCCUGAUGAGUAGGAGGGUCGCGGAGGUGAGCGCAGAAGGGCUGGCCGUGAGGCCGUCUGGAGCCGCCUUCGGUGCAGAUCUUGGUGGUAGUAGCAAAUACUCCAGCGAGGCCCUGGAGAGCUGAGGUGGAGAAGGGUUUCGUGUGAACAGCCGUUGCACACGAGUCAGUCGAUCCUAAGCCCUAGGCGAAAGCCGAUGUUGAUGUGGCGUUGUUAAUCGUGUUUGUAAGUUUAUAGCAGCAAUGCUAAAGAGCUUGACGCGUGACGCACGCCCGUCGGGCGAAAGGGAAUCCGGUUCCUAUUCCGGAACCCGGCAGCGGAACCGUCCUUAAUUCGGGCCCUCGUAAGAGAGUUCGUCGGGGCAACCCAAAAGGACCCGGAGACGCCGUCGAGAGAUCCGGGAAGAGUUUUCUUUUCUGCAUAAGCGUUCGAGUUCCAUGGAAUCCUCUAGCAGGGAGAUAUGGUUUGGAACGCGAAGAGCACCGCAUUUGCGGCGGUGUCCGGAUCUUCUCCUCGGACCUUGAAAAUCCGGGAGAGGGCCACGUGUAGGCGUCGCGCCGGCUCGUACCCAUAUCCGCAGCUGGUCUCCAAGGUAAAGAGCCUCUAGUCGAUAGAAUA